Long non-coding RNA from Triticum aestivum (bread wheat), 690 nucleotides. RefSeq lists it as uncharacterized. The record is from RefSeq and is a predicted model, not a curated record. The transcript has 3 exons. Lineage: Eukaryota; Viridiplantae; Streptophyta; Magnoliopsida; Poales; Poaceae.
UUAACUGUGCUGUGCUUCACUCAUAACCCCAGGGCGCACGCUGUACAUGCUCAUUCAUUCGGUCAGUCGGUGCCCCGGCCAGUCCCCACGCAUUCGGUUUGUCUGUAGCAGCGCUCUUCACACACUACUCUGAAGAUAUUUACCAGUGCAGUGAUAUUUCUCUGAAACUUUUCUGAAGAUAGCUUUUACAUGCAUGUGUCUGUGAGAACUGAGAAGGAGAGCAAUGGACAGUAGUGGAUGCAAACUGCACAGCAAGCUUGUUCCCAGCUUCCAGAGACGGAUGCACGAUGCAGCAGAGAUGGCAUAUCUGUUUUGGCAUGGCAUGGGUACUAUAGCUACUACUGGCCGGUGAUGCAACGCAGCAACUUGCAGCUGCAUGCCCCUGAAUGUUAGUUGGUGCUAAUGGGAGCCUCCUCAUCCUGUGAAUGUGUGUCUCCUCAUGGCAUCUUGUCCCUGUUUGCAUCAUGCAGCAUCCAAAAGCCAGGCAGAAUGCAGGACAAGCAGCUCCCUUGGCGCAUUGCAUCCUCUUCACCUUGCAGACCAGAGCAGGACCAACACCCUGUUAGUUCGUUCGCUGCUGCAUGGACGCACGCAUCCACCAGCAUCAUCUGCAAUUCUGCAUGGAGACAUAUAUGGAGGAAACCUUAAACACGAACGACAGCCGCACGCGCGCGCGCCCUUCCUCCUAGC